Molecule: ribosomal RNA, 253 nt
Filed under: uncultured bacterium
Lineage: Bacteria
Description: partial 16S ribosomal RNA
Rfam family: Bacterial small subunit ribosomal RNA
Source: RNAcentral
UACGUAGGGAGCAAGCGUUGUCCGGAAUCAUUGGGCGUAAAGCGCGCGUAGGCGGCCUCAUAAGUCCGUUGUGAAAGUCAAAGGCUCAACCUUUGAAAGCCGAUGGAUACUGUGAGGCUAGAGUCCGGAAGAGGCGAGUGGAAUUCCUGGUGUAGCGGUGAAAUGCGCAGAUAUCAGGAAGAACACCCGUGGCGAAGGCGGCUCUCUGGGACGUGACUGACGCUGAGACGCGAAAGCGUGGGGAGCGAACAGG